RNAcentral lists this ribosomal RNA (427 nucleotides) under uncultured bacterium. Its description in RNAcentral is "bacterial SSU rRNA". It matches the Rfam family "Bacterial small subunit ribosomal RNA", at positions 954 to 1380 of the family's 1533-position model. The record is from RNAcentral.
AUGGGAACGCGAAGAACCUUACCUACUCUUGACAUCCAGAGAACUUAGCAGAGAUGCUUUGGUGCCUUCGGGAACUCUGAGACAGGUGCUGCAUGGCUGUCGUCAGCUCGUGUUGUGAAAUGUUGGGUUAAGUCCCGCAACGAGCGCAACCCUUAUCCUUUGUUGCCAGCGGUCCGGCCGGGAACUCAAAGGAGACUGCCAGUGAUAAACUGGAGGAAGGUGGGGAUGACGUCAAGUCAUCAUGGCCCUUACGAGUAGGGCUACACACGUGCUACAAUGGCGCAUACAAAGAGAAGCGACCUCGCGAGAGCAAGCGGACCUCAUAAAGUGCGUCGUAGUCCGGAUUGGAGUCUGCAACUCGACUCCAUGAAGUCGGAAUCGCUAGUAAUCGUAGAUCAGAAUGCUACGGUGAAUACGUUCCCGGGUC